Molecule: ribosomal RNA, 331 nt
Filed under: uncultured Lachnospiraceae bacterium
Lineage: Bacteria; Bacillati; Bacillota; Clostridia; Lachnospirales; Lachnospiraceae
Description: bacterial SSU rRNA
Rfam family: Bacterial small subunit ribosomal RNA
Source: RNAcentral
GAUGAACGCUGGCGGCGUGCCUAACACAUGCAAGUUGAACGAAGCAAUCAAGACAGAAUCCUUCGGGAGGAAGAUUUGAUUGACUGAGUGGCGGACGGGUGAGUAACGCGUGGGUAACCUGCCUUGUACAGGGGGAUAACAGUUAGAAAUGACUGCUAAUACCGCAUAAGCGCACAGUACUGCAUGGUACAGUGUGAAAAACUCCGGUGGUACGAGAUGGACCCGCGUCUGAUUAGCCAGUUGGCGGGGUAACGGCCCACCAAAGCGACGAUCAGUAGCCGGCCUGAGAGGGUGUACGGCCACAUUGGGACUGAGACACGGCCCAAACUCC